UUAAGGGCGCACGGUGGAUGCCUUGGCACUAGAAGCCGAUGAAGGACGUUACUAACGACGAUAUGCUUUGGGGAGCUGUAAGUAAGCUUUGAUCCAGAGAUUUCCGAAUGGGGAAACCCAGCAUGAGUUAUGUCAUGUUAUCGAUAUGUGAAUACAUAGCAUAUCAGAAGGCACACCCGGAGAACUGAAACAUCUUAGUACCCGGAGGAAGAGAAAGAAAAUUCGAUUCCCUUAGUAGCGGCGAGCGAAACGGGAAGAGCCCAAACCAACAAGCUUGCUUGUUGGGGUUGUAGGACACUCUAUACGGAGUUACAAAGGACGACAUUAGACGAAUCAUCUGGAAAGAUGAAUCAAAGAAGGUAAUAAUCCUGUAGUCGAAAAUGUUGUCUCUCUUGAGUGGAUCCUGAGUACGACGGAGCACGUGAAAUUCCGUCGGAAUCUGGGAGGACCAUCUCCUAAGGCUAAAUACUCUCUAGUGACCGAUAGUGAACCAGUACCGUGAGGGAAAGGUGAAAAGCACCCCGGAAGGGGAGUGAAAUAGAACCUGAAACCGUGUGCUUACAAGUAGUCAGAGCCCGUUAAUGGGUGAUGGCGUGCCUUUUGUAGAAUGAACCGGCGAGUUACGAUUUGAUGCAAGGUUAAGCAGUAAAUGUGGAGCCGUAGCGAAAGCGAGUCUGAAUAGGGCGUUUAGUAUUUGGUCGUAGACCCGAAACCAGGUGAUCUACCCUUGGUCAGGUUGAAGUUCAGGUAACACUGAAUGGAGGACCGAACCGACUUACGUUGAAAAGUGAGCGGAUGAACUGAGGGUAGCGGAGAAAUUCCAAUCGAACCUGGAGAUAGCUGGUUCUCUCCGAAAUAGCUUUAGGGCUAGCCUCAAGUGAUGAUUAUUGGAGGUAGAGCACUGUUUGGACGAGGGGCCCCUCUCGGGUUACCGAAUUCAGACAAACUCCGAAUGCCAAUUAAUUUAACUUGGGAGUCAGAACAUGGGUGAUAAGGUCCGUGUUCGAAAGGGAAACAGCCCAGACCACCAGCUAAGGUCCCAAAAUAUAUGUUAAGUGGAAAAGGAUGUGGCGUUGCCCAGACAACUAGGAUGUUGGCUUAGAAGCAGCCAUCAUUUAAAGAGUGCGUAAUAGCUCACUAGUCGAGUGACACUGCGCCGAAAAUGUACCGGGGCUAAACAUAUUACCGAAGCUGUGGAUUGUCCUUUGGACAAUGGUAGGAGAGCGUUCUAAGGGCGUUGAAGCAUGAUCGUAAGGACAUGUGGAGCGCUUAGAAGUGAGAAUGCCGGUGUGAGUAGCGAAAGACGGGUGAGAAUCCCGUCCACCGAUUGACUAAGGUUUCCAGAGGAAGGCUCGUCCGCUCUGGGUUAGUCGGGUCCUAAGCUGAGGCCGACAGGCGUAGGCGAUGGAUAACAGGUUGAUAUUCCUGUACCACCUAUAAUCGUUUUAAUCGAUGGGGGGGACGCAGUAGGAUAGGCGAAGCGUGCGAUUGGAUUGCACGUCUAAGCAGUAAGGCUGAGUAUUAGGCAAAUCCGGUACUCAUUAAGGCUGAGCUGUGAUGGGGAGAAGACAUUGUGUCUUCGAGUCGUUGAUUUCACACUGCCGAGAAAAGCCUCUAGAUAGAAAAUAGGUGCCCGUACCGCAAACCGACACAGGUAGUCAAGAUGAGAAUUCUAAGGUGAGCGAGCGAACUCUCGUUAAGGAACUCGGCAAAAUGACCCCGUAACUUCGGGAGAAGGGGUGCUCUUUAGGGUUAACGCCCAGAAGAGCCGCAGUGAAUAGGCCCAAGCGACUGUUUAUCAAAAACACAGGUCUCUGCUAAACCGUAAGGUGAUGUAUAGGGGCUGACGCCUGCCCGGUGCUGGAAGGUUAAGAGGAGUGGUUAGCUUCUGCGAAGCUACGAAUCGAAGCCCCAGUAAACGGCGGCCGUAACUAUAACGGUCCUAAGGUAGCGAAAUUCCUUGUCGGGUAAGUUCCGACCCGCACGAAAGGCGUAACGAUUUGGGCACUGUCUCAACGAGAGACUCGGUGAAAUCAUAGUACCUGUGAAGAUGCAGGUUACCCGCGACAGGACGGAAAGACCCCGUGGAGCUUUACUGUAGCCUGAUAUUGAAAUUCGGCACAGCUUGUACAGGAUAGGUAGGAGCCUUUGAAACGUGAGCGCUAGCUUACGUGGAGGCGCUGGUGGGAUACUACCCUAGCUGUGUUGGCUUUCUAACCCGCACCACUUAUCGUGGUGGGAGACAGUGUCAGGCGGGCAGUUUGACUGGGGCGGUCGCCUCCUAAAAGGUAACGGAGGCGCUCAAAGGUUCCCUCAGAAUGGUUGGAAAUCAUUCAUAGAGUGUAAAGGCAUAAGGGAGCUUGACUGCGAGACCUACAAGUCGAGCAGGGUCGAAAGACGGACUUAGUGAUCCGGUGGUUCCGUAUGGAAGGGCCAUCGCUCAACGGAUAAAAGCUACCCCGGGGAUAACAGGCUUAUCUCCCCCAAGAGUUCACAUCGACGGGGAGGUUUGGCACCUCGAUGUCGGCUCAUCGCAUCCUGGGGCUGUAGUCGGUCCCAAGGGUUGGGCUGUUCGCCCAUUAAAGCGGUACGCGAGCUGGGUUCAGAACGUCGUGAGACAGUUCGGUCCCUAUCCGUCGUGGGCGUAGGAAAUUUGAGAGGAGCUGUCCUUAGUACGAGAGGACCGGGAUGGACAUACCUCUGGUGUACCAGUUGUCGUGCCAACGGCAUAGCUGGGUAGCUAUGUGUGGACGGGAUAAGUGCUGAAAGCAUCUAAGCAUGAAGCCCCCCUCAAGAUGAGAUUUCCCAACUUCGGUUAUAAGAUCCCUCAAAGAUGAUGAGGUUAAUAGGUUCGAGGUGGAAGCAUGGUGACAUGUGGAGCUGACGAAUACUAAUCGAUCGAAGACUUAAUC
This 2912-nucleotide ribosomal RNA is filed under the name Staphylococcus aureus. RNAcentral's name for it is "bacterial LSU rRNA". It matches the Rfam family "Bacterial large subunit ribosomal RNA". Lineage: Bacteria; Bacillati; Bacillota; Bacilli; Caryophanales; Staphylococcaceae. RNAcentral also lists the same sequence under 1 other name. The record is from RNAcentral.